UACCUAAAUGAACUGUAGUGCUAGGGAACU
RNAcentral lists this non-coding RNA (30 nucleotides) under Rattus norvegicus (Norway rat). Lineage: Eukaryota; Metazoa; Chordata; Mammalia; Rodentia; Muridae. The record is from RNAcentral.